This 778-nucleotide long non-coding RNA is filed under the name Echeneis naucrates (live sharksucker). RNAcentral's name for it is "lncRNA (ENSENLG00000008144.1)". Lineage: Eukaryota; Metazoa; Chordata; Actinopteri; Carangiformes; Echeneidae. The record is from RNAcentral.
CCGUGAACCGGCGGCUCACCGGCGGCGUGUCAGCGCUGGAUGAACCCAGAAAACCCGCCUUCUGCUCGUUUAUUUGUUUUUGCUUCUUUCACGGUCUUACCGACGGCGUGCCGCGGUAAUGCUGCGCGGUCAAAGCCGAUGAAGUUUCCCAGAGACAUCUGCCGGCUGCUGGGCUUAGGAGGCGAUGGGCCAGGUGAGGAGGAGAUGGCGGCUCAGGGUGAUGCUCCGAACCCAACAGACAAAAGAAGAGGCCAAGACUCAUCACAGUCCAUGCUGAGUAAUGAUGAAGGUCCUGAUGAUGAUGAUGAUGAAGAGAGAGCAAGGAGGAAGGCUGAGAGGAAAAGAGCCAAAAAGAAAAGGCAGAAAGAAAGGAAGAAACUGGAGCGCGAGGAGAGGAUGGAGGACUUGGAGCAGGAGGAGGAAGAAGUGUCUGGAGCAGCGUCAGACAGUAACAGUGAGGAGGAAUUUAAAGUGGAUGAGAAAAAAGCUGAGGUUCAUCCCAGAAACAAAUGCAGCCCUGAAUCCGUUUCUGCCCUCAUGACGGCGGAGAACAAGAGCAACCGCCAGUUACCUCACAGGACCUCCGACGAGGAGCCAGAGUGGGACGUCAGCAGUGCAUUUGUUGCCAACGCUGCCAGCCACAUUAGACUCAAAGGCCUGAAGAACAGAGCUGUUCAGGUCACCAGGGAGAACAAAGAGAAUGAGGCCAAGAGCAGCCAGGUACAAACACAAGGCUCCGAGCUUUCUGUCCACCCACGUGUCUUUGGCUGAAGCUGUC